CCUACGGGAGGCAGCAGUGAGGAAUAUUGGUCAAUGGACGCAAGUCUGAACCAGCCAUGCCGCGUGCAGGAAGACGGCCCUAUGAGUUUAAAACUGCUUUUGUACGGGGGUAAACGCAGAUACGCGUCUCUGUCUGUAAGUAUCGUACGAAUAAGGAUCGGCUAACCCCGUGCCAGCAGCCGCGGUAAUACGGAGGAUUCAAGCGUUAUCCGGAUUUAUUGGGUUUAAAGGGUGCGUAGGCGGUCGGAUAAGUUAGAGGUGAAAUCCCGAGGCUCAACUUCGGAAUUGCCUCUGAUACUGGUCGGCUUGAGAGUAGUUGCGGUAGGCGGAAUGUAUGGUGUAGCGGUGAAAUGCGUAGAGAUCAUACAGAACACCGAUGGCGAAGGCAGCUUA
RNAcentral lists this ribosomal RNA (393 nucleotides) under uncultured bacterium. Its description in RNAcentral is "partial 16S ribosomal RNA". It matches the Rfam family "Bacterial small subunit ribosomal RNA", at positions 338 to 728 of the family's 1533-position model. The record is from RNAcentral.